RNAcentral lists this ribosomal RNA (678 nucleotides) under Triticum aestivum (bread wheat). RNAcentral's name for it is "partial small subunit ribosomal RNA". The record is from RNAcentral. Lineage: Eukaryota; Viridiplantae; Streptophyta; Magnoliopsida; Poales; Poaceae.
AUGGGGUCGUUAAUCCAUGGUGGUAGAAUGUCCAAGUAUUUGGUUCCACACACACUGGAUGCGAGAAGAUUUGCUGGUUCCGAAGACGCUCCCAUCAGCCUAGACAAUGGCAUACUCGAUGACAUAAUGUUAGAUGAAUUUUCCUCAUAUAGCUCUGGUACUUCCUAUGUUGACUCCAUGUGUGGCAAGCUGAUGGAGACAAGUAAAGGCAAAAACCCAUCAAAUCAUCAAAGUUACUUCACAAACACACCAAGUGGUCGCGGGAGCUUGGCACCCACAAAUGAGUAUCAGGUAAACUUGACUGGUAUUCUUCAUAGGGGUGGAACAUCUCAUGUCCCACCACGUGUGAACAUACCAAGGAUCGACCAACUGACGAACUAUGAGACGUCAUCUAGCGGAUUGUUGCUGCAAAAUCAAUUGCUACCGUUCAUUGGCAACACCACAUCAGUGAAGGGUUUUAGUGAAAAAAUAGUUCCAUUCAACAUACCUAACAACCCAAGCUCUGUAGGGAUGUUGAAUGCGCACAAUAGUACUCCAAUGGCAUCAUCUCAGAUGUUUGGCGGAGGUAGAAUUACUACUGUACGGGAAGGCUUCAAUGAGAAAAUAUCGCCAUUCAACAUAGCAAGCAACAAGCUCAGUAGGGACAAUGCUGAAUGGCAAUUUUGCACAUGGAACUAG